This 203-nucleotide long non-coding RNA is filed under the name Elaeis guineensis (African oil palm). RNAcentral's name for it is "long non-coding RNA (EGUI_LNC056567)". Lineage: Eukaryota; Viridiplantae; Streptophyta; Magnoliopsida; Arecales; Arecaceae. The record is from RNAcentral.
CGUCUGAUGUGCAUGCAAAGUAGAGGGUCUGCAUAUCCAAGCCUCCGUGAAGAUUUAUAUCAAAUAAUUUGGAAUUUGAUCUCUGGUUCUACUAUGUUUCAGGUAAGAAUUUGAUCCUUAAAUAAGUAGAACAUUAGAAAAUUUUUUUUGAUGCAACGUGGGUAUUUUGGAGGGAAACUAUUUCCUUCCCUUCAACCACAUGC